This 537-nucleotide long non-coding RNA is filed under the name Phasianus colchicus (ring-necked pheasant). RNAcentral's name for it is "lncRNA (ENSPCLG00000013620.1)". The record is from RNAcentral. Lineage: Eukaryota; Metazoa; Chordata; Aves; Galliformes; Phasianidae.
CCGUUGUUUCUUAAUCUCACGCCGGGGAUAUAGAUAUUAAAAGAACCUCCUCUCCCUCCUAUAAAUCGGAGUGAGACACCUCCCCAGGUGCAAGACCCAACGCUCACUCUUGUGAAGAAGACAGUCACCUGAGGAAUUUCCUCAUAUGGACUGAAUUGGCUCAUCACUGCUUAAAUGGUCAUCUCUGACAUUCCACACAUGAUCUACAGAGGCGUGUUCCCAUCUCAAGAAAUUUUCUGCUCGUGAUCUCUCUUCCCUUGUGAUGCAUGAUUCUUGUGCAGAAAGACCAGCAUACGUUAGAAAAUCUUGCCUGUAGAAAUCAGAUGAAUGCACUGGGAUACUUCUGUUUUCAGAAAUUACUGCUUCAAUUUGUGCUUCCACUUGUUCAUACCGAGAUAGUGAAAUGCCAGUAAUACAUAAGGAGAUGUCACAUAAGACCCUUAGGUCUAUUUAAUGUUUUCAAAGUUAAAAUCCACCUGGCAAUUAAUGAAAUAUUAUGUGAAUAAAAGCAAAGAUUUGAAAGUGGGCUUUUUUCCU